RNAcentral lists this long non-coding RNA (332 nucleotides) under Sorghum bicolor (sorghum). RNAcentral describes it as "long non-coding RNA (SBIC_LNC017881)". Lineage: Eukaryota; Viridiplantae; Streptophyta; Magnoliopsida; Poales; Poaceae. The record is from RNAcentral.
UCUCCUCCAGGGGCCAGAGGGGGUCUCCUUAUAUAGUCCUCCCCUUCUAUGCGUUUUUGGGUCGGUAGGCGAGGUGGUACUAUGUUAUUCUGGAUCCAAUAGGUCGGUGGAGAUCUCCCGAGAGAAAGAGUCCUGAUUGGGCUCAGCAGGUGGGCGGGCGCCCAAGGAAACUGGGCGGGCGCCCAGGUCCUGGCCCCGUUUCGCCUCCGCUUCGGUCUCGUGGCUUCUGGAGUCUUCUAGAUGGUAGAAAAUUGCGCGGUGCGUUGAUAUCUCUAUGUAAUCCUAACAUGUGGGCCUUUCUUCCUUAUUUCCUGAUAACCCCCUGCAGAAAU